This 1372-nucleotide ribosomal RNA is filed under the name metagenome. RNAcentral describes it as "bacterial SSU rRNA". It matches the Rfam family "Archaeal small subunit ribosomal RNA". The record is from RNAcentral.
GCUCUUCGGAGCUUGGCGAAAGGCUCAGUAACACGUCAAUAAUCUACCCUUGGGUGGAGCAUAACCUCGGGAAACUGAGGAUAAUUCUCCAUAGAAUAUAGAUACUGGAAUGUUCUAUAUUCCAAAGUUUCGACGCCCAAGGACGAGUUGGCGGCAGAUUAGGCUGUUGGUGGUGUAAAGGACCACCAAACCUGAGAUCUGUAAGGGGGAUGAGAGUUUGAGCCCUGAGAAGGACACUUAGACAAGGGUCCUAGCCCUACGGGGUGCAGCAGAUGCGAAACCUCUACAAUGCACGCAAGUGUGAUAGGGGAACCCCUCGUGCUUACGGAUUCCGUAAGCUUUUGCCAAGUGUAAAUAACUUGGAGAAUAAGUGGUGGGCAAGACCGGUGCCAGCCGCCGCGGUAACCCCGGCGCCACGAGUGGUAGCCGCGUUUAUUGGGCCUAAAGCAUCCGUAGCCGGUUAGCUAAGUUUUCGGUGAAAUCUAACAGCUUAACUGUUAGGCGUGCCGAAAAUACUGGCUAACUUGAGACCGGGAGGGGUUGGAAGUAUGCCUGAGGGAGCGGUAAAAUGUUGUAAUCUCAGGGAGACUACCAGUGGCGAAGGCGUCCAACCAGAACGGGUCUGACGGUCAGGGAUGAAAGCUAGGGGCGCGAGCCGGAUUAGAUACCCGGGUAGUCCUAGCUGUAAACGCUGCCUGCUUGGCGUUGCAUAUUCUUCAGGAGUAUGCAGCACCGUAGUGAAGAUGUUAAGCAGGCCGCCUGGGAAGUAUGGUCGCAAGGCUGAAACUUAAAGGAAUAGGCGGGGGAGCACUACAAGCGGUGUAUGCUGCGGUUUAAUUGGAUUAAACGCCCGGAACCUUACCAGGAGCGACAGCAGAAUGAAGGUCUGUCUGAAUGGCACACUCGACACGCUGAGAGGUGGUGCAUGGCCGACGUCAGCUCGUGCCGUGAGGUGUUCGGUUAAGUCCGAGAACGAGCGAGACCUAUGCUUUCAGUUGCCAUUGCUUUUUUACGAGAGCAAGCACACUGAAAGGACUGCAUGCGUAAGCAUGAGGAAGGUGUAGGCAACGUUAGGUCUGUAUGCCCCGAAUCUCCUGGGCUACACGCGGCACUCAUUGGUUGAAACAACGGGUUGCAACUCCGAAAGGAGAAGCUAAUCCCUUAAAUUUAACCUUGUUCGGAUCGAGGGCUGAAACUCGCCCUCGUGAAGUCGAAAUCGCUAGUAAUCGUGUUUUAGCAUAGCACGGUGAAUAUGUCCCUGUUCCUUGCACUCACUGCCCGUCAAACCAUCCGAGUUGGGUCUGGAUGAGGCCUAAUCUUUUGGUUAGUUCGAAUCUGGAUUCAGCGAGGCGGGUUAAGUCGACACAAGGUA